AGGACGAACGCUGGCGGCGUGCUUAACACAUGCAAGUCAAGGGGGCCCAGCAAUGGGCAACCGGCGAACGGGUGCGUAACACGUGAGCAACCUACCGAAAUGUGGGGGAUAGCCGGCCUAACGGCCGAGUAAUACCGCAUACGCUCUCGAUGAGGCAUUUCAUUGAGAGGAAACCUACGGGACAUUUCGAGGGGCUCGCGGCCUAUCAGCUAGUUGGCGAGGUAACGGCUCACCAAGGCAACGACGGGUAGCUGGUCUGAGAGGAUGGCCAGCCACAUUGGGACUGAGAUACGGCCCAGACUCCUACGGGAGGCAGCAGUGGGGAAUCUUGCGCAAUGGCCUAACGGCUGACGCAGCGACGCCGCGUGUGGGAUGAAGCUCUUCGGAGUGUAAACCACUGUUGCCCGGACGAAUAGCUCGAUUAGUCGAGCCUGACGGUACCGGGUGAAGGAAGCACCGGCUAACUCCGUGUCAGCAGCCGC
This 482-nucleotide ribosomal RNA is filed under the name uncultured soil bacterium. Its description in RNAcentral is "bacterial SSU rRNA". It matches the Rfam family "Bacterial small subunit ribosomal RNA", at positions 26 to 518 of the family's 1533-position model. The record is from RNAcentral.